ACAACAUUUUUUUUAGUACAUGUAUGUCUGGUGCAACAAUUGGGACAUACUUAUGCUAAAAAAAUUAGUGUUC
This 73-nucleotide non-coding RNA is filed under the name Pongo pygmaeus (Bornean orangutan). The record is from miRBase by way of RNAcentral. Lineage: Eukaryota; Metazoa; Chordata; Mammalia; Primates; Hominidae. RNAcentral also lists the same sequence under 1 other name.